UUUAUGGAGAGUUUGAUCCUGGCUCAGGAUGAACGCUGGCGGCGUGCCUAAUACAUGCAAGUCGAGCGAACGGACGAGAAGCUUGCUUCUCUGAUGUUAGCGGCGGACGGGUGAGUAACACGUGGAUAACCUACCUAUAAGACUGGGAUAACUUCGGGAAACCGGAGCUAAUACCGGAUAAUAUUUUGAACCGCAUGGUUCAAAAGUGAAAGACGGUCUUGCUGUCACUUAUAGAUGGAUCCGCGCUGCAUUAGCUAGUUGGUAAGGUAACGGCUUACCAAGGCAACGAUGCAUAGCCGACCUGAGAGGGUGAUCGGCCACACUGGAACUGAGACACGGUCCAGACUCCUA
This 351-nucleotide ribosomal RNA is filed under the name Staphylococcus aureus. Its description in RNAcentral is "bacterial SSU rRNA". It matches the Rfam family "Bacterial small subunit ribosomal RNA", at positions 1 to 341 of the family's 1533-position model. Lineage: Bacteria; Bacillati; Bacillota; Bacilli; Caryophanales; Staphylococcaceae. The record is from RNAcentral.